Long non-coding RNA from Corvus hawaiiensis (hawaiian crow), 2851 nucleotides. RefSeq lists it as uncharacterized. The transcript has 2 exons. The record is from RefSeq and is a predicted model, not a curated record. NCBI's taxonomy places the organism in Eukaryota, Metazoa, Chordata, Aves, Passeriformes, Corvidae.
CUUCCAGGAGACCAGAGGCACCUCUCUGCUGAGCCCAGGGCAGCCUGCUGAAGUGACUGCCUUCCAGGCACUUCCCAAGGGCUGGCAGUCCUGCUGCUCCCCUGGGCUGCCUUUCCCCCACCUUCCUGAAAGAUGCCUGUCACUUCCAGCCACCUCUGCUCUGCCCUGUGGCUGUGUCAUGGUUUACAAUCUCUGAUGCUUUUUCAGAGCUGUUGGAGCUCAGGGCAUGGUCCCCAGGUCAUAAAUGGUCCUUGCCCACCACAGCUGCCACUUGCAGUUUCUGGCUGAUGAGGUUCCUCUUUUUUGCUGCGUUUCCCCUGGAAGGAUGUUCAGUGGGAUUGAGGUGGAUUUCUCCGCCUCUUUCCCUCCAGCCAGUUCCCUUCAAAUACUUCUUGCAGCUCACUUGUGGGUUUUGGCCUUCUGGCUUUUUUAUGGAUGAAUUUAUGCAUUUGUUCUCAGGCUGUUUCAAUGUGCUUUGUUUAUUUGGGAGGUUGGCUGCACAGCCCACUCUUCGUUUUUUCCUGCUUUCAUGUUAUAUUGACUUCGUGCCUACAGCAUGAGCUACCCACAGCUGUGCUCUUCCACACAUGGUGGCUUUUCCCGUUCUUUGGGGUCAAAAUUUUUCUGUGUUGUUCACUGUAAGUCCCAGAGCCUGGUUACCUUCCAGCUUAAACAGAGAGUGGUCAUCACAUUCAGCUGCUUUCCCAACUCCUCUUAUGCUGAGACCUUUCUUGGUGCCAGCCACCAGCUGAGGUUUGCUUUGUUGUGGAUAUGAUCCUUGAGGACAUCAGGGAAAGUGUCCAAGGAACCCUUGCUCUUCAGCAUCCAGGAAACCAAUUUGAAAAGUGCCUUCAGAAAAGCCUCUUACUUAUUUUCUUUUAUGUGUCACUGCUGCCCAAAUGGACCAUGCCCAUGAGCUCCUCCCCAGCACUUCAACACUGUUUAGAGACCUCACAGCAGCCAGCAUCUUUGUCCUGGGCAGACAAGGUACCACAGUGUGUCCCUAUAUGUUGGUCAAGCCCCUGCAGGACACCUGAUCCCUUUGGGCCAGCACUUUUCUCAACCACACUGUUCCUGGAAGAGCCAUGUGUUGUCUUAGCCUUUGUCCCCCAAACAAGGCUGAGGUGCAGCAAGACACGCCAGCUGCUCUGGAGUAGAGCAUUUCCCUUCAGUACAGACAUCCCUCUGAAGCUGUCAUGAUUUUAGCUGUGAGAGCACCUUUUCUGGCACAGCCAUGUUUUCUCCCUCAUCACCACAACCUGCAGCCCCAGCCCAGAGGGGUGGGAAAGGUGUCCUGGUCUCAGGCACCAGGCCCAGGCUGGCCUCACAUCCAGCCCAGUCUCCAGACCCUGGGGACAGUGCCACAUCACUGGUACCUGGGCUGCUGCCACUCAUGUACUUGGCCUCGUGGUGGGCUGGGGUGGCCUCCUGCCUUGCAAGAUCUCCAGGAUUUGUGUGCUCCAGAUUCAAUGCUAAACCCCUCAAUUUUCAAAAUCCUUUGGGGCCCAGGCUGCCAGGCCUGCAUAUGUUAGUGACAUUAGCAGCUACUCUGUUCCCUUCUAGGUACAUCCCAGUGGUCCAGCUUGUGCCCUGCCACAGCUUUGCAACAAGUGCCCCUUAAUGUACUGCUUUCCCCUGAUGGUCCUUUCAUUCCUCCUGUGAGUUGCUUCCAGCAGAGCGACACCUACUCUCUGUCCCAUCGAGGUGCGUGAUGCCGCAUGUACCUGUGUUUGAAGCGAAGGUUUUUCAAUAGACACCAUCUUCUCAGAGGGCCAGCUUGCACCCCAAACAACAUUGUCACCAUUGCUUAGCUCUAUUCCCUCCGUUCUGUAUUUUUGACAAAUGGUUCCUUCCAUUGACUCCAUAUAUUCAUUCCUUGUUUCCCUGCUUGUCAUACCCAAUGUCUUGCUUCUCCAUUCUGAUGUCACCUCCCGUUAGGCAUUUUUGUGAUGUUAAAAAACUCUUCACUCAGAAAAUGUUCCCAGUUUGUUGUUUUGGUUUUUUUUAGUUGCCUUCCUGAGGGAUGUCCAUCAGUUCCAACCACUUCUCACACUCUGUGGCCAGGCUGUGGGGGCCACAAAGCUCUUUUGGAGCAGUUGAAGCUCUCAGCACAGUCCCCAGGCCACUGCCAGCCUUUCCUCAUUACAGCCACUGCUUGCUGUUCCUUGCUGACAAACUUUCUCUGCUUCCCACGGUUCCCCUUUGAGGAUGUUAACAUGACUGAUGGAUGUCUCCAUCUCUCUCCUAACAGCCUUUGAGUGCAUUGCUGUCACUCUCCAAAGGGACUUUUCGGUGCCAGUGGUGGGGUUGCAGCUGUCACAGGCAGAACAGGGCUAAGCUGAAGACGCUUUUCCACCCAGGUCUGGAGCCAGCAGCAGCCAGAGAGCAGCUAUGUGCCUGGGAACCCUGGUGUACCCUCUCUGGUUUCCUUCCAUUUUUUCCAUGAUACAGAUGCAUCCACAUACCUAUUCUGGCACCCUGGUUCCAGCAUCAUGUUUCAGAGAAGCAUGACUGUCACCUGCCUGCAUCAAUGAGUCCACACUCACCGUGGGACAUGUGAGCUAAACCUGGAUGCUAGUCCAGUGUCUCCAUUUGCCAGGGACAACAGAGGUGGGAUUUUUAUGUUCCUGGUGCCAGCCAAGAUGCCCCAGGGCAUUGGAUCCAACAGGGACCUACAGCCACUCUGCCAGCAGCUGGAUGCAAGGAGGGCUGCGAUUCCGCUGGCAUUCUGUCACUUGCACUUGUCCUUGCUCUCAGGUCUAUGCCUGGUUUUGCUAUUAGCCCGUCUCCAGAGAUCUUAGAGCUUCCCUGUCUUCCAAAAUACAUAUAUCUACAAUGAGCAUUUCAAACU